Molecule: ribosomal RNA, 864 nt
Filed under: uncultured bacterium
Lineage: Bacteria
Description: bacterial SSU rRNA
Rfam family: Bacterial small subunit ribosomal RNA
Source: RNAcentral
CACAUGCAAGUCGAGGGGAAACGACAUCGAAAGCUUGCUUUUGAUGGGCGUCGACCGGCGCACGGGUGAGUAACGCGUAUCCAACCUGCCCACCACUUGGGGAUAACCUUGCGAAAGUAAGACUAAUACCCAAUGACGUCUCUAGAAGACAUCUGAAAGAGAUUAAAGAUUUAUCGGUGAUGGAUGGGGAUGCGUCUGAUUAGCUUGUUGGCGGGGUAACGGCCCACCAAGGCAACGAUCAGUAGGGGUUCUGAGAGGAAGGUCCCCCACAUUGGAACUGAGACACGGUCCAAACUCCUACGGGAGGCAGCAGUGAGGAAUAUUGGUCAAUGGACGAGAGUCUGAACCAGCCAAGUAGCGUGCAGGAUGACGGCCCUAUGGGUUGCAAACUGCUUUUAUAAGGGAAUAAAGUGAGUCUCGUGAGACUUUUUGCAUGUACCUUAUGAAUAAGGACCGGCUAAUUCCGUGCCAGCAGCCGCGGUAAUACGGAAGGUCCGGGCGUUAUCCGGAUUUAUUGGGUUUAAAGGGAGCGUAGGCCGGAGAUUAAGCGUGUUGUGAAAUGUAGACGCUCAACGUCUGCACUGCAGCGCGAACUGGUUUCCUUGAGUACGCACAAAGUGGGCGGAAUUCGUGGUGUAGCGGUGAAAUGCUUAGAUAUCACGAAGAACUCCGAUUGCGAAGGCAGCUCACUGGAGCGCAACUGACGCUGAAGCUCGAAAGUGCGGGUAUCGAACAGGAUUAGAUACCCUGGUAGUCCGCACGGUAAACGAUGGAUGCCCGCUGUUGGUCUGAAUAGGUCAGCGGCCAAGCGAAAGCAUUAAGCAUCCCACCUGGGGAGUACGCCGGCAACGGUGAAACUCAAAG